RNAcentral lists this unclassified non-coding RNA (221 nucleotides) under Hevea brasiliensis (rubber tree). The record is from RNAcentral. Lineage: Eukaryota; Viridiplantae; Streptophyta; Magnoliopsida; Malpighiales; Euphorbiaceae.
GGCGGCGUAGCGCGUGUGGCGCUUGCCUUGCAGCAGCCACAUCCAGGGGACGACGAAGAGGUAGUGUGUGAAGGAGUGGCAGAGCUGGUGCCACCAGUCCUUGCGGAUGAUCUUGGUCUCGUCGAUCUGGUCGAUAGACCACAGGUGGCCGUCGCGCUCCUUGUUGAGGAAGAUGGUCUGGAAGACGUGGUUGUCGAAGGGCACGGAGGGCGGGAAUUGGG